ACGCGUUUCUCGGAGUGCUCACCGUGAUGCAGAUCAAGAUGGAGUCACUCAGCUAUUGGCAAGAUUGAAUAAUGAAGUGGAACACGACCACCUGAUCAUAUCUUCCUGCAAUUGACUCAGCUAGCAUGUGUGCUGGACAGACACGUUAUGUAUCAGCCCGUGCCACAGGACACUGGAGUCAUCGAGCAUAGGGAACGGGAGAUGUGGAUCCAUUUGGGUGCCAGCCAGGUGGACAAGAGCUGUCCUUGAAGCUGCGGAGAUCCAACCAUCUGAUGAAAAAGGACAGGAAGAGAUUGAAGAAUACAUACACCCUCGUCUUGUGGUCAUUGGAGGACUGGCUAGCAAUCAAAAGACUGAAGCGCUCUCUCUAAUCGAGUGACAGCAUCGACCACAUAGAGGGAAUCGGAGAUGAUGUUUAAUGGGACGUCUGACCAUUUCUCAAAAGUUUUAACUACAGCCAUCAGUUCCAGCAGUUGAACUGAACUGCCUGGGGAGUGGACAGUUAGAUUUUGCCAUUUUCCAUUUUCCCACCAAACCACUCCUGCUUUGGCUUGGAUCUUACUGGCAUCGGUAAAAACAGUCAGGCCUUUAACGGGUACUGCUGAUCUCAACGGCUGGUCUUCCAUUUGAAAUUUAACAGAAAACAAUUUAUGGGCCGGAUAAUGAUUAUUUAUAGUUCCUGGAUAUGACAAUAAGGCCCACUGUAAUUCAUCAGAUUGUUGCAGUGCCCAGUUCAAGAACUCAUCUGUGAGAGGAACGAAAAUGAUGUCUGCCUCAAUCCCUGCUAUUUCCACCAGACGUUUCCUGGCCUUAACUAUUAUUUUUGCAAUUGCCUCAAGCCUCGUGGUAAUUGUUUUUUUGUAAAUUAUGUGGCAAAAAUAUCCACUCCAAGAUCCUCAAUGGGUCUUUCGCUACUGAAUCCCAUUGCAUCAAGAUUGCCAUUACAUGCUGGUUUUGACUUAUCACAGCAAUGUUAAUUGACAAGUCAGGAUCAUAUCGAUGACUGUAAUUAUUGACUAUCUU
Long non-coding RNA from Colius striatus (speckled mousebird), 1023 nucleotides. RefSeq lists it as uncharacterized. Lineage: Eukaryota; Metazoa; Chordata; Aves; Coliiformes; Coliidae. The transcript has 3 exons. The record is from RefSeq and is a predicted model, not a curated record.